AAUCAACGCUGGCGGCGUGCCUCAGACAUGCAAGUCGAACGAUUAAGCUCUCUUCGGAGAGUGUAUAGAGUGGCGCACGGGUGAGUAACACGUAAGUAAUCUACCUUCGAGUGGGGAAUAACGUCCGGAAACGGACGCUAAUACCGACAUAAUGCAGCGGCAUCGCAAGAUGACAGUUGUUAAAGAUUUAUCGCUUGAAGAGGAGCUUGCGGCAGAUUAGCUAGUUGGUAAGGUAAUGGCUUACCAAGGCCUAC
Molecule: ribosomal RNA, 254 nt
Filed under: uncultured bacterium
Lineage: Bacteria
Description: partial 16S ribosomal RNA
Rfam family: Bacterial small subunit ribosomal RNA
Source: RNAcentral